RNAcentral lists this unclassified non-coding RNA (406 nucleotides) under soil metagenome. RNAcentral describes it as "partial contains 5.8S ribosomal RNA, internal transcribed spacer 2, and large subunit ribosomal RNA". The stretch from base 1 to 121 matches the Rfam family "5.8S ribosomal RNA", at positions 35 to 154 of the family's 154-position model. The record is from RNAcentral.
GAUGAAGAAGGUAGCGAAAUGCGAUAAGUAAUGUGAAUUGCAGAAUUCAGUGAAUCAUCGAAUCUUUGAACGCACCUUGCGCCCUUUGGCCAUUCCGAAGGGCAUGCCUGUUUGAGUAUCAUGAACACCUCAACUCUUCAUGGUUUUCCGUGAUGAGCUUGGACUUUGGGGGUCUUGCUGGCCUAUGGUCAGCUCCUCUAAAAUAAAUCAGCUUGCCAGUGUUUGGUGGGUAUCACAGGUGUGAUAACUAUCUACGCUUGUGGUUUUCCACCAGGUAACCUUCAGCAGUGGAGGUUCGCUGGAGCUCACAGAUGUGUCUCUCCUCAGUGAGGACAGCUCUUUGAAUGUUUGAUCUCAAAUCAGGUAGGACUACCCGCUGAACUUAAGCAUAUCAAUAAGCGGAGGA